Molecule: transfer RNA, 82 nt
Filed under: Ochromonas sp. CCMP1393
Lineage: Eukaryota; Chrysophyceae; Chromulinales; Chromulinaceae
Description: tRNA-Tyr
Rfam family: tRNA
About the family: Transfer RNA (tRNA) molecules are approximately 80 nucleotides in length. Their secondary structure includes four short double-helical elements and three loops (D, anti-codon, and T loops).
Source: RNAcentral
GGUCGGUGCCCGAGCGGUUAAUGGGGAUGGAUUGUAAAUCCAUUGACGAAAGUCUACAUAGGUUCAAAUCCUAUUCGGCCUA